This 274-nucleotide ribosomal RNA is filed under the name uncultured bacterium. Its description in RNAcentral is "partial 16S ribosomal RNA". It matches the Rfam family "Bacterial small subunit ribosomal RNA", at positions 523 to 796 of the family's 1533-position model. The record is from RNAcentral.
AUACGGAGGGUGCAAGCGUUACUCGGAAUCACUGGGCGUAAAGCGCGCGCAGGCGGCUUGAUAAGUUGGAUGUGAAAGCCUACGGCUCAACCGUAGAACUGCAUCCAAAACUAUUUAGCUAGAGUGUGGGAGAGGAAGAUGGAAUUAGUUGUGUAGGGGUAAAAUCCGUAGAGAUAACUAGGAAUACCAAAAGCGAAGGCAAUCUUCUGGAACACUACUGACGCUGAGGCGCGAAAGCGUGGGGAGCAAACAGGAUUAGAAACCCCGGUAGUCC